UGGGGAAUUUUGCACAAUGGGGGAAACCCUGAUGCAGCGACGCCGCGUGAUUUAGAAGGCCUUCGGGUUGUAAAAAUCUUUUUUACGGGAUGAAAAUGACAGUACCGUAAGAAUAAGGUCCGGCUAAAUACGUGCCAGCAGCCGCGGUAAUACGUAUGGACCGAGCGUUGUCCGGAAUCAUUGGGCGUAAAGGGUACGUAAGCGGCCUAGUAAGUUAGAAGUGAAAUAAUAUAGCUCAACUAUAUAAAGCUUUUAAAACUGCUAGGCUUGAGAGAUGGAAGGGAAAGUGGAAUUCCUAGUGUAGCGGUGAAAUGCGCAGAUAUUAGGAAGAAUACCGGUGGCGAAGGCGACUUUCUGGUCAUCAUCUGACGCUGAGGUACGAAAGCGUGGGUAGCAAACAGG
RNAcentral lists this ribosomal RNA (402 nucleotides) under bacterium. Its description in RNAcentral is "partial 16S ribosomal RNA". It matches the Rfam family "Bacterial small subunit ribosomal RNA", at positions 355 to 776 of the family's 1533-position model. The record is from RNAcentral.